RNAcentral lists this ribosomal RNA (1242 nucleotides) under Ophiocordyceps sp. Its description in RNAcentral is "partial small subunit ribosomal RNA". It matches the Rfam family "Eukaryotic small subunit ribosomal RNA", at positions 132 to 1052 of the family's 1831-position model. Lineage: Eukaryota; Fungi; Ascomycota; Sordariomycetes; Hypocreales; Ophiocordycipitaceae. The record is from RNAcentral.
UUACUACUUGGAUAACCGUGGUAAUUCUAGAGCUAAUACAUGCUGAAAAUCCCGACUUCGGAAGGGAUGUAUUUAUUAGAUUAAAAACCAAUGCCCUCUGGGCUCUCUGGUGACUCAUGAUAACUGCGCGAAUCGCAUGGCCUUGCGCCGGCGAUGGUUCAUUCAAAUUUCUUCCCUAUCAACUUUCGAUGUUUGGGUAGUGGCCAAACAUGGUUGCAACGGGUAACGGAGGGUUAGGGCUCGGCCCCGGAGAAGGAGCCUGAGAAACGGCUACUACAUCCAAGGAAGGCAGCAGGCGCGCAAAUUACCCAAUCCCGACACGGGGAGGUAGUGACAAUAAAUACUGAUACAGGGCUCUUUUGGGUCUUGUAAUUGGAAUGAGUACAAUUUAAAUCCCUUAACGAGGAACAAUUGGAGGGCAAGUCUGGUGAACGUUGCUGGUGCCAGAGAUAGCCGCCCCUCGGUAAAUAAAGCAGCUAGUCGAGUGCUCAUAGGAGUGACGGGUGAGCACCGGCGAGACAACCUGGAUCGGGGAAGGCUUAAGGGCUCCCGCGUGGGGCCUAUGCUAAUCCCGAGCAGAGCCGAUACUUCUCGGCCUGUGUAGAGCGCGCAAAGGUGUCGGUCCCGGGGAGCCCCCUCCCCGGGGCUUAAGGUACGUGCCAAUCCCCUGCGAAAGCAGGGCCCUGCGGACGGAGCACCCGUCAUGCGAAGCCGCGGGGGGCAGGCGGCCCCGCCGGGGCCGCCUGCCGUGAACAACGGUGGCCAGCAGCCGCGGUAAUUCCAGCUCCAAUAGCGUAUAUUAAAGUUGUUGUGGUUAAAAAGCUCGUAGUUGAACCUUGGGCCUGGCCGGCCGGUCCGCCUCACCGCGUGCACUGGUCCGGCCGGGCCUUUCCCCCCGCGGAACCCCAUGCCCUUCACUGGGCGUGGCGGGGAAACGGGACUUUUACUUUGAAAAAAUUAGAGUGCUCCAGGCAGGCCUAUGCUCGAAUACAUUAGCAUGGAAUAAUGAAAUAGGACGUGCGGUUCCAUUUUGUUGGUUUCUAGGACCGCCGUAAUGAUUAAUAGGGACAGUCGGGGGCAUCAGUAUUCAAUUGUCAGAGGUGAAAUUCUUGGAUUUAUUGAAGACUAGCUACUGCGAAAGCAUUUGCCAAGGAUGUUUUCAUUAAUCAGGAACGAAAGUUAGGGGAUCGAAGACGAUCAGAUACCGUCGUAGUCUUAACCAUAAACUAUGCCGACUAGGAU